Long non-coding RNA from Onychostoma macrolepis, 809 nucleotides. RefSeq lists it as uncharacterized. Lineage: Eukaryota; Metazoa; Chordata; Actinopteri; Cypriniformes; Cyprinidae. The transcript has 3 exons. The record is from RefSeq and is a predicted model, not a curated record.
UUUACGGCAGAAUUUCAACAGUAUAAUCCUGUUAUGUUCAAAAGCAGUACAUUACUGUUUUUUUCGUUUUUGUGAAAUGACGUAGACACAAUAUAACGGCAUUCUACUGUAUUUAUAACUCGAAGGAAAUAAAACAUUACUAUCCAGUAUUUUUGUAAACUGCAGUGAGCACGCCGGGACUUUCAUCCGUCUUGUUAACAGGUAAAUUCCCCUUUGCUUUGCGCGAUUUCAUAGACAAAAUACAUUACAUUUGCUACUGCAACUAAUCUGUAUAGUGGAUAUCGGAAGUGACACUAUCUUUUAUUUGCUCUUUUCAGUGAUAAACGCGCCAAAUGCGACAUCAUCGAGUGCAACUGGAUUUCUGACUCUGUGACUCGGAUUAUAUUAUUCCCAAUUACAGGGUUCAGGUGAAACACCAGGAAGAAGAAUCCAGCACUGGAUGAUCAGCCUUGAGGAGCACAUCAUUUGUGAGGGCAUCCAGCCAGCUUUUCUGUCUGGGCUUGCAGCUGAUUUUUCUACUUACAACAAUUUCAAUCUUCAAUACCAAGCUGAAGACGCAUGCAUGUUGGAAAUUAUUCAACGGUGGUUCAUCGAGAUAAAUCCGGAAAAGGGACCAGGGCUGGAGGAGUCAUAUCAAAGUGGACGGGGAAGGUCACCCAGAAAAAGAAAACCGUGAACCCUCGUGUCUGCAGUCUACUUAAAAAAAUUUAUGGAUUUUGAGUUGGACUUUAUACAAGUAUUACACACCACAGACCACACACUCACAUCACACACACACGUUUGUUUUUGUGAAAAGUGGGGACAUCCCA